RNAcentral lists this ribosomal RNA (255 nucleotides) under uncultured bacterium. RNAcentral describes it as "partial 16S ribosomal RNA". It matches the Rfam family "Bacterial small subunit ribosomal RNA", at positions 29 to 269 of the family's 1533-position model. The record is from RNAcentral.
AGCGAACGCUGGCGGCGUGCUUAACACAUGCAAGUCGAGUGAAGGAAAUUCCUGUAGCAAUACAGGGUUUUUCAUCCACGGCGCACGGGUGCGUAACACGUGGGUGACCUGCCCUAAGAUGGGGAAUAACCCCGCGAAAGCGGGGCGUAAUACCGCAUAAAAUUACCGCGACAUUCGGGUUGCGGAUUCAAAGUCUUCGGACGUCUUUGGAGGGGCCCGCGGCCGAUUAGCUAGUUGGGGAGGUAACGGCNCACC